GCCUAGGUGGUGUAAACGGUAACAUGCACACAACUUGAGCCUCGUUUGGACUACUGUACUAUCAUCCUGCGCCAUUUGGGGCACUUUGGAUAGGCGGCAGGAGAGGCAAUUGGAUAUGUGUGAUCUGAGUUCAAGUCUCAGUCUGGGCA
Cadophora malorum is the source of this 149-nucleotide non-coding RNA. Lineage: Eukaryota; Fungi; Ascomycota; Leotiomycetes; Helotiales; Ploettnerulaceae. The record is from the annotation of a GenBank genome assembly.